Molecule: transfer RNA, 72 nt
Organism: Camelus ferus (Wild Bactrian camel)
Lineage: Eukaryota; Metazoa; Chordata; Mammalia; Artiodactyla; Camelidae
Rfam family: tRNA
About the family: Transfer RNA (tRNA) molecules are approximately 80 nucleotides in length. Their secondary structure includes four short double-helical elements and three loops (D, anti-codon, and T loops).
Source: Rfam
GGGUAUAUAUCUCAGUGGUAGAGCAUGUGCUUAGUAUGCGUGAGGUCCUGGGUUCAAGCCCCAGUAUCUCCA